RNAcentral lists this long non-coding RNA (348 nucleotides) under Hordeum vulgare. RNAcentral describes it as "long non-coding RNA (HVUL_LNC021463)". The record is from RNAcentral. Lineage: Eukaryota; Viridiplantae; Streptophyta; Magnoliopsida; Poales; Poaceae.
GAAAACAUGAGCCAUACUUACACAAUGUCAUUCCACUGUGCUCAUUAACUGAUUGUGUAGACUCUACCUGCCAUCACGGAUAAGACGGCACUAUUACUAUAUACAAAUUGAUUGUGCCACUGUCGGAGCACUGUAUCCUCUGGACCAUGUUUGAAGAACAGAACGCCUGCCUAGCUAGCCUCUAAGCUACGCUAGCUUCCAGUCCAGACCUCGAGAGCCAUCGUUGAUUGAACCCUAAACUAUUCCCCUGAUCACUCAACGUCAAAUUAAUACCAGUGCAGUAGUUGUACCGCGAGCUACGGCCGGCCCUAGCAGAUAAACCACGCCUUGUAGCUCCAUGAUGACGGC